Equus quagga is the source of this 417-nucleotide non-coding RNA. The record is from the annotation of a RefSeq genome assembly. NCBI's taxonomy places the organism in Eukaryota, Metazoa, Chordata, Mammalia, Perissodactyla, Equidae.
AAGAAUCAAGAACAUUAUUUAGGUGACACUCCAGAGAUGAACUCUGCUCCAGCCUUGGUGACUGUGGUACUCUUAAUGCUUGGGCAAACUUAUGGAGAUUCAGUGACCCAGAUGGAAGGCCAAGUGACCCUCUCAGAAGAGGCUUCCCUGACUAUAAACUGCACUUAUUCAGCCACAGGGUACCCCACUCUUUUCUGGUAUGUUCAAUAUCCUGGAGAAGGUCCGCAGGUCCUCCUCAGAGCCAUGACACCCAACAAGAAGGAAACCAACAAAGGUUUUGAAGCCACAUACAAUAAAGAAAGCGCCUCCUUCCACUUGGAGAAAGCCUCAGUCCUAGAGUCAGACUCAGCUAUGUACUACUGUGCUAUGAGUGACACAGUGACAGGAACUGCAGGGGGAGCUGAGCAAAAACUCUGA